GCCCGGAAGGGCGGGCGGCUGUUGGGUUGUUUGGUGUUAACACGAAUUAAAUAAGGAGGGGAGAGCGCUGGAUCCGGCGGCACGAGGGUGCAGAGUUCACUGUAAACAGGAGGGUGACGGGGCUGGUCAGGGAGGUGCAAAGCAACGAGAUAAUCUCCAAGGACAAUAACGAUAGACAGUGUAUGGAGUGAGAGUUGGCAUUUAGGCAUACUGAUCUGUGUGCUGUUGGAUGGUGCUGUGCAGUUUCUUUAACCCUCCAACCCUCCCCUCACAUCCUGUGUUGGAGCUCUGCGAUCUCCUUGCAGCAAGUCAUGCAGAACUAAUGGUGCCUCUCAUCCUUCAGCUCCUGCAGCGUGACAGAGGCAGCUGAGAUCCUAAUUAUGACUAAAAAUAAUGACUGCCAGCAAGCAAACAGCAGUGACAAUGACAGCUGGAACCGGGGACUUAGUUUGUAAAUAUAUAUAAUCAAAUGCACAUAUUGCUUAAAUGAACUUGCACGUGUGGGAGCCAAUGCUCACCAGCACUCCUGAAAUCAGGACUAAAGCACAGGUUUCAAUCCGAUACACACAGCUUUGCCAAGCUCUUUUGAUUUGCGUGUGAUGGCUUCAAGUAAGAGAACAGGAAAAUCAACAACGACGUUUAACUUAAAGGGGUGGGACACAGAAAUGAGGAAGUUUUCUUUCGUAAAGGAAAUGAAAAGGAGCGAGGUGCAGCCUCAGUGCACACACACAGAGCAGGCCCCAAGGUUUUGUGUUUCUUUGGUCCUCAGCAAGGUUAAAUACACAGCGACAGAAGAGACAAAGUUAUAAAUAAACAGAUCGGAGUGAGCUGUGCUAAGCUGCGUGAAGUAAGAAUAAGAAGAGGCCGGAUAAUUUGCUGCUAACUUUCAGAGCCUUCACGCAGCCUGUUUGCAGAUCCAUCAGGAGGGUGGAAAAACCUCAGACCGUGAGUUCUGUGAGGAGGUGGGAGGAUAUAAAUGGAGUGUGAAGGCAUUUCUCCCUCCUUAUGGUGUGUGUGCACUGGGCUGCCAGUAGAGCUGUUAUGUACCAGGCCUCACCUCGUUGCUGUGCCCAGAGCCACAGGUGUGAGCUGUUGGUUCCUCCUGGGGCUCCCAAAGGAGGCAGAUAAGCAGCGCAGCAGCCACGUCAGCUGCUCCAUGUUUGCUGUGCUGUCAGCGCUGUCCCUGCGUGCACUGCUGCACUCCUGGUGACCUUUGAAUGGCUGGGGAAAGUAAAAAUAGUGACUAAUA
Non-coding RNA from Coturnix japonica (Japanese quail), 1249 nucleotides. Lineage: Eukaryota; Metazoa; Chordata; Aves; Galliformes; Phasianidae. The record is from RefSeq and is a predicted model, not a curated record.